This 425-nucleotide ribosomal RNA is filed under the name uncultured bacterium. Its description in RNAcentral is "partial 16S ribosomal RNA". It matches the Rfam family "Bacterial small subunit ribosomal RNA", at positions 354 to 796 of the family's 1533-position model. The record is from RNAcentral.
GUGGGGAAUAUUGGACAAUGGGGGCAACCCUGAUCCAGCAAUGCCGCGUGUGUGAAGAAGGUCUUCGGAUCGUAAAGCACUUUCGACGGGGACGAUGAUGACGGUACCCGUAGAAGAAGCCCCGGCUAACUUCGUGCCAGCAGCCGCGGUAAUACGAAGGGGGCUAGCGUUGCUCGGAAUUACUGGGCGUAAAGGGCGCGUAGGCGGCUCUGUUAGUCAGGCGUGAAAUUCCUGGGCUUAACCUGGGGACUGCGCCUGAUACUGCGGAGCUUGAGGCCGAGAGAGGGUGGUGGAAUUCCCAGUGUAGAGGUGAAAUUCGUAGAUAUUGGGAAGAACACCGGUGGCGAAGGCGACCACCUGGCUCGGUACUGACGCUGAGGCGCGACAGCGUGGGGAGCAAACAGGAUUAGAAACCCUGGUAGUCC